GCAAGUCGAACGUGAUCACGACGAAGUUUACUUUGAUGUGUGAAAGUGGCGGACGAGCGAGUAACACGUGGGUAGUUGCCUUGUACUCGGGGAUAACUGGUCGAAAGAUCAGCUAAUACCGGAUGGUCUCGAAAGAGUAAAGAUUUAUCGGUACAGGAGACGCUUGCGGCCUAUCAGCUAGUUGGUGAGGUAAAGGCUUACCAAGGCUAUGACGGGUAUCUGGUGUGAGAGCACGACC
This 238-nucleotide ribosomal RNA is filed under the name uncultured bacterium. Its description in RNAcentral is "partial 16S ribosomal RNA". It matches the Rfam family "Bacterial small subunit ribosomal RNA", at positions 57 to 305 of the family's 1533-position model. The record is from RNAcentral.